AUUGAACGCUGGCGGCAGGCCUAACACAUGCAAGUCGAGCGAGCGGCGGACGGGUGAGUAAUGUAUGGGAAACUGCCCGAUGGAGGGGGAUAACUACUGGAAACGGUAGCUAAUACCGCAUACCAUCAGAUGUGCCCAGAUGGGAUUAGCUAGUAGGUGGGGUAACGGCUCACCUAGGCGACGAUCCCUAGCUGGUCUGAGAGGAUGACCAGCCACACUGGGACUGAGACACGGCCCAGACUCCUACGGGAGGCAGCAGUGGGGAAUAUUGCACAAUGGGCGCAAGCCUGAUGCAGCCAUGCCGCGUGUAUGAAGAAGGCCUUCGGGUUGUAAAGUACUUUCAGUCGGGAGGCGUUACCGACAGAAGAAGCACCGGCUAACUCCGUGCCAGCAGCCGCGGUAAUAC
Molecule: ribosomal RNA, 406 nt
Filed under: uncultured bacterium
Lineage: Bacteria
Description: partial 16S ribosomal RNA
Rfam family: Bacterial small subunit ribosomal RNA
Source: RNAcentral